AACGAACGCUGGCGGCAGGCCUAACACAUGCAAGUCGAGCGAGAUCUUCGGAUCUAGCGGCGGACGGGUGAGUAACGCGUGGGAACGUACCCUCUUCUGCGGGAUAGCCACUGGAAACGGUGAGUAAUACCGCAUACGCCCUUCGGGGGAAAGAUUUAUCGGAGGAGGAUCGGCCCGCGUUGGAUUAGGUAGUUGGUGGGGUAAUGGCCUACCAAGCCUACGAUCCAUAGCUGGUUUUAGAGGAUGAUCAGCCACACUGGGACUGAGACACGGCCCAGACUCCUACGGGAGGCAGCAGUGGGGAAUCUUAGACAAUGGGCGCAAGCCUGAUCUAGCCAUGCCGCGUGAGUGACGAAGGCCUUAGGGUCGUAAAGCUCUUUCGCCUGUGAUGAUAAUGACAGUAGC
RNAcentral lists this ribosomal RNA (405 nucleotides) under uncultured bacterium. RNAcentral describes it as "bacterial SSU rRNA". It matches the Rfam family "Bacterial small subunit ribosomal RNA", at positions 29 to 479 of the family's 1533-position model. The record is from RNAcentral.